This 588-nucleotide ribosomal RNA is filed under the name uncultured Imtechium sp. RNAcentral describes it as "bacterial SSU rRNA". It matches the Rfam family "Bacterial small subunit ribosomal RNA", at positions 335 to 916 of the family's 1533-position model. Lineage: Bacteria; Pseudomonadati; Pseudomonadota; Betaproteobacteria. The record is from RNAcentral.
ACUCCUACGGGAGGCAGCAGUGGGGAAUUUUGGACAAUGGGCGCAAGCCUGAUCCAGCAAUGCCGCGUGCAGGAAGAAGGCCUUCGGGUUGUAAACUGCUUUUGUCAGGGAAGAAAUCUUCUGGGCUAAUACCCCGGGAGGAUGACGGUACCUGAAGAAUAAGCACCGGCUAACUACGUGCCAGCAGCCGCGGUAAUACGUAGGGUGCGAGCGUUAAUCGGAAUUACUGGGCGUAAAGCGUGCGCAGGCGGCUUUGCAAGACAGAGGUGAAAUCCCCGGGCUCAACCUGGGAACUGCCUUUGUGACUGCAAGGCUAGAGUACGGCAGAGGGGGAUGGAAUUCCGCGUGUAGCAGUGAAAUGCGUAGAUAUGCGGAGGAACACCGAUGGCGAAGGCAAUCCCCUGGGCCUGUACUGACGCUCAUGCACGAAAGCGUGGGGAGCAAACAGGAUUAGAUACCCUGGUAGUCCACGCCCUAAACGAUGUCAACUGGUUGUUGGACGGCUUGCUGUUCAGUAACGAAGCUAACGUGUGAAGUUGACCGCCUGGGGAGUACGGCCGCAAGGUUGAAACUCAAAUGAAUUGACGG